AGAGUAUAUUUUCUUUCUUGUUCAUACCCAUGCUUUCUUUAGUGCUAACCAUUACAUUACAGAAGUCGUUUGACCAGUGCAUGGUUAAGCAUCAAACAGUAAAUACAAUGUGCAGUUUCUUAAAGGACUCCCAAGUGGCCUAACUCUUGCAGUUGAGGUUAGUGAAUUUCUUGUUAAGUUUCAUUGGAACUAUAACUAUGAAACAUUGGAGCAGUUUUUCCAUUAAAGAAAAAUCCUACAUUCAGGUGUUUAGUAUGAUGGGCAUUUUUAUGAAACGUUUUUUGAAUAUUAUUAAAAAGUGGACUGAGUCUAGUAAUCUGUGAUGCUUCUUUCAGCAAGGAAUUGAAUUUUAGCAGGUCCAAAAAGAAGCAGAAUACCUGUUCACCCAUCAUAAAAAGAUCCUGCUCUUGCGUGAAUAUCUUUAUGCUAAGGCACUCAAACCCAGGAUAAAUAGUACAGUUGGUGGUGACUUAGAGGAAAACAUACUCUUGAAACAUUCUUAAGUCAAAGACAAGUUUUUUCCAUAAUGAAAUCCUCUGUUUUACCAAAGCUCAUCUCAGUUUUCAUUAACAAAAAGUUUAGUUCCGUGUGGCACUCCGGAGAGAUGGAAAAUAAACGUGCCCGCAUCUAUUUAAAUCAUUCAGACACUCAAAUAAAUGCACAUAACUUACUUGAGUGAACUGUUCUCUGGAUACAAGAUAUUCCUUUAGGGCUUCACCUUUACUUAGCUUGAGUUUAUGUGACUACUUCAACUACUGACAAAACGAUCAAGUAGUCUUGUUAUUGUCUUUCAUUUCUGAUCCCUUCUGAAUUUUACCAGACCUUCCUGAGGUCAUAUUUACUUUCUUCACUUUCAAGGACUGCAUGGUUAGUUCUUUAACUUUUUAAAAUAAAUUCCCUCAAUUAGUCAAUUGCUCUCUGCUGACCUUUGCUGAUGCUAAUCUUUGUUAUGUAAUAAUGCAAACAGGACUGAGCAUAAUACCAUUCCAGAUUUUUAAUGUUUAGCUAUUAGAAUAAUUAGUAGGAAAGGCCUGAUGUUGUGAUCUUUUCCUGGUUCUGGAUUUGUUAUUUAUUAGUGCUUACAAACAGCAUUGUUUAUCAUUAUGCAAGCUAAAUGGUACUCAAACUAAUCACUCAGUGUUUCAGUCACAGUAGUGCAACAUGUUUGUAUUCUUAAAAGAUGAGACUUGGAAACUUGAGAACUGUUCUUAGGUAUUACUAGAGCGGUCUGUGGGCAGUUAAGGCACAGCAAAGCAUCCAAAAACAUCUGAUCCUCUUGCUUCGAAAGAACUCGGAGGAGAGGGAAUGAAAACACCUUAAUGAAGAUAUUUGUUUAUAUGUCUGGCAAAUGAAAAGGUUUUUGAAGUAGAAGAGCCUGAAAUGUUAAAUAUGCAAGGAAGGAAAAUUAAAAAGAAUGAGACAAUAAAUAGAAAGACUAGCAGGAUGAAAAUUUGUGUAAAAACAUCCCAGCACAAACAGCUCCUUUUAUUAAAAAGUAAAAAUACAAAAACUGAGUCCCUGAACUGCAAGUUAACUGUUCAUUUUGCACUGAUGUUAACUAUGUAACUCCAGUAUUUUUUUCAAACUUCUGUCAAAUAGUCUCUGCUGAUACUCCAAAAUGGGUAGAGCUGACGUGGUCUUGUAGUACCUCCAGAAAGAGAGGGACUCAACAGCGUAAAGUAUGGCUUUGCAGAAUGGUCAGAGACAUCUGCCAGAAAAACCUGUACUGAAGAAACCUUCAAAGUUUUUCGUUACAAUACUACACCUAGGACUACGCGUGAAAUGCAGUCUUUAAUGUGAACUCUUUAUAGAUUUUAUUCCAUUUAUUCUUCCUGAUCAUGGAAGUAUUAAUAAAAUAGCUACCUUACUUUCGUGUAGGAAAACUUGUAGAAAUGGAUAAAUAAUCAUGGCAAAGUAUAUUUAAAACGCCUAAAAUUAUUGUACAAGUUGAUGAAGGAUGUGCAGUUUUACUCCUUAUGUGUCUUCUUUAAUAAAUCAGAACUACAAAACU
Long non-coding RNA from Cygnus olor (mute swan), 2011 nucleotides. RefSeq lists it as uncharacterized. The transcript has 2 exons. The record is from RefSeq and is a predicted model, not a curated record. Lineage: Eukaryota; Metazoa; Chordata; Aves; Anseriformes; Anatidae.